GCACGCUUAUAUAAAUACCCACUCUAGCUUCUUAUUCUAACUCAGAGAAGAACAUUACAAAGAGUCAGAGAGUAAUCCAUACAUAUACAUAUAGAUCUCUCCAGUAACUCAAAACAAAACAAAAAUCAUCAGUCUAUCGAUCGAUGGACAUGGAGACGAAGAAACCUUACAUGUGGUGACUAUGAUACAAAUCAUAUAUGCAAUCAUGGUUUUGAUCUCUAAAGCUGUCUUCAAUGGUGGAAUGAACACUUUCGUCUUCGUUUUCUAUCGUCAAGCGUUCGCUACCAUCUUCUUGGCUCCUCUCGCUUUCUUCUUCGAAUGGAAAAGUGCUCCACCUCUUUCAUUUGUUACCUUCAUCAAAAUCUUCAUGCUCUCCUUAUUUGGUGUGACAUUGAGCUUGGACUUAAACGGAAUCGCAUUAUCAUACACUUCGGCAACUUUGGCCGCUUCCACAUUCUUCUUGGCUCUGUUUCUUGGAAUGGAGACGCUUAAGAUUAAGACCAUACAAGGAACAGCGAAGCUUGUGGGGUAUUAUGGGAUCAUUAUCUAGUUAUUAAUACUUAGGAUAAUGACGUUAUUGAUAAGUCCACAUAUGUUAUUGAUAAGGACAAAUAGUUUGUUGAGGUUUAGUUAAACCGUCAUACACGUUGUAUAAGUAUCGAUGUUCACAAGUUUAAUAAGACAAGUCAGUUCGAUACAUUAUUUUACAUGGUAUCAGAGCUAAAGAUCUCUUUAAACACAUAAAUUUUUCUUUCUUAUUCAAUAGUUCAUAGUCUUGAACUGAUUAAUCGUCUGUGACGAUGGGUGACAAAGACUCUCAAAGUUUGGGAGUUAUAGGAUCGGUUGUGAAACCUGGUGAUUCACCCUAUACCCUUUAUAGUUCAGAUAAUCCUGGUGCAAAGAUAACACAGGUUAUGCUGAAUGGUGACAACUAUAAUCUAUGGGCAAACGAGAUGGUGAAUGCUUUGCAAGCCAAGAGGAAGAUUGGUUUCAUUAAUGGAACCGUGGAGAAGCCGUCCAGUGAUGGACCUGAUUAUGAGAGUUGGGUGGCAGUCAACUCAAUGGUGAUAGGGUGGAUAAGGUCUUCGAUUGAUCCCAAGGUGAAAUCCUCUGUAACUUUUGUAUCAGAGGCGAGCCAGUUGUGGUCUAGCUUGAAGCAGCGAUUCUCAGUUGGGAAUAAAAUCCGUAUUCAUGAGUUAAAAGCACAACAAGCUCAGUGUAGACAAGAUGGGCAACCUGUCAUUGAGUAUUAUGGACGUUUGUGUGCUUUAUGGGAGGAGUUUGCUGUAUACAGACCACUUCCAAAGUGUACGUGUGAUGCUUCUGACGAGAUAAGGAAGGAGCGAGAUGAUGAUCAAGUUCAUCAGUUCAUCAUGGGUUUAGAUGAUUCGAGAUUUGGUGCCUUGUGUACUAGUCUUAUUGGUAUGGAUCCAUUGCCGUCGAUUGGUGAAGUGUACUCUAAAGUUAUUAGAGAAGAGCAGAGGUUGAAUGCUUCUCGAACAAGGGAACAACAACAAGAUGCGGUCGGUUUCGUUACAAGGCAAACGGAGUUGGUGUCUCUUGACAACAGUAUUGUUAAGAAUGACUCUUCCAUUCUCAGGAACCGUAAUGCUGUCUGUUCUCAUUGUGGACGGAAUGGUCAUGAAAAGAAAGAUUGUUGGCAACUGGUGGGCUUUCCGGAGUGGUGGACUGAACGGUCUGAGCGAAAUAAAGGUGGUGGUGGUUCUGGAAGAGGAAGAGGAUGUAGUGCUCAAGGUCGUGGUCGAGGCUUCACUGCUGCAGCACAUGCUACGAGUUCAAACUCUUCAUUCUUUCCAGAGUUUACACAAGACCAGUGGAAGUCUCUUGCUCAGAUGAUCAAUGAAAAGUCAGGCUCAGACAAGCUUUCUGGUAAGACAAAAUUUAGUGAUGUAAUCUUAGACACCGGAGCCUCUCACCACAUGAUAGGACAGUUGUCUCUGUUAACAAACGUUGUGUCUAUCUCACCGUGUUCUAUUGGCUUUGCGGAUGGUAGUAAGACAUUUGCUUUGAGCAUGGGAUCGUUUCCUCUCUCAAGCAAGAUUUCAUUGACCAAUGUGCUAUAUGUUCCGGCAUUGAAAUGCACCUUGAUAUCAGUCUCGAAAAUUUUAAAGCAAACUGGUUGUCUUGCUACUUUUACUGAUACUGUUUGUGUUUUACAGGACCGUUUCUCGAGGACUCUGAUUGGAACCGGUGAAGAGCGUGAUGGGGUUUACUUCUUGACGGAUGUGGCUACAGCAAAGAUCCACUUGGCCGGUGCAGUAUGUGAUCAGACCUUGUGGCAUCAGCGUUUAAGACAUCCGAGUUUUUCUGUUUUGUCUUCAUUACCAUUGUUUUCCUCUACGUCUGUUGUCUCUCGUCCGUGUGAUGUGUGUUUUCGAGCUAAACAGACUAGAGAAGUGUUUCCAGACAGUUUUAAUAAAGCAAAUGAUUGUUUUUCAUUGAUUCAUGUUGACGUAUGGGGUCCUUAUCGUGUGCCCUCUUCUUGUGGGGCGGUUUAUUUUUUGACAAUCGUUGAUGACUUCUCGCUUGAUGUGUGGACGUUUCUCAUGCUAGCAAAGUCGGAAGUUCGUACUAUUCUUAUCAACUUCAUUACAUACGUCAGUAAGCAGUUUGACAAGUCUGUCAAAAUUGUUCGAAGUGACAACGGAACUGAGUUUACAUGUCUCGCAUCAAAGUUCUGAGAACAAGGUAUUGUUCAUCAGACUUCCUGUGUGGGAACACCCCAGCAGAAUGGACGAGUAGAACGUAAGCAUCAUCAUAUACUCAAUAUUGCACGCGCUCUGUUGUUUCAAGCUAAGGUACCUAUCAAGUUUUGGGGUGAAGCUGUCCUUACUGCUGCUUAUCUAAUUAAUCGGACUCCAACAACCUUGCAUAAAGGACGUUCACCCUAUGAAGUUAUCCAUGGAAGAAAGCCGGACUAUAAUUUGCUUCGUGUGUUCGGCUCCGCGUGUUAUGUGCAUCGAGCUGCGAGGGAUAAAGACAAGUUUGGGGAGCGCAGUCGCUUGUGUGCGUUUCUCGGAUAUCCAUUUGGCAAGAAGGGAUAUAGAGUGUUUGAUAUGGAGCGUGAGGAGAUUAUGGUUUCUCGUGACGUUAUUUUUAGAGAAUACGUGUUCCCGUUUGAAACUCACGCUUCUCAGCCUCGGUCAUCAGUAGAAGGAGGAGACACUGAUUGGUGUUUCGAUGAGUCGAUUCUUGUAGACAGGGGGAGUGUUUCUCCUACGUUAAUUGAGGUCACGCCAGCUGAAGCCUCUACGUCACAUGGUCUGACACUGGAUUCUGCUAAUACUACUGCAGCAACAGAGACCACUGAAUUAGGUACAACAGAGUGGGUACCGCCUGCGGUAGAUAUCGCUGAACCUGUGGCAACAGAGGAUACUGAAGUAGCUAAUGAUGUUCUUCUUAACAAUGAAAACAAUGGUAAUACGGCUCAACAAAGUGAGGAAGCUUCUGGUCGUGGUCAUAGACAGCGUGUUCCGUCUGUAAGACUUCAGGACUACGUUACAUACAAUGCAGUUGUUUCUGAUACCCCUCACGCUCUCCCGCUCUCCACAUCAUCGUCCUCCAGUAUGGUCCAAGGUAACUCACUAUACCCUCUCACAAAUUACAUCAGUGAUGCUAACUUUACUCCGUAGCAUCGUGCGUUUCUCACCUCGGUCACGGCUCAUAAAGAGCCGAAGCACUUCAAGGAAGCUGUCGGUAUUAAGGUUUGGGAUGAUUCUAUGACUGUUGAAAUUGUGGCACUUGAAGCGCAGCAUACAUGGGAUAUCGUUGAUCUCCCACCAGGAAAAGUUGCCAUUGGCAGUCAGUGGGUUUAUAAAAUUAAGUUUAACGCCGACAGCACGAUUCGAAGAUAUAAGUCUCGGCUUGUGGGAUGUGGUAAUAAGCAAGUUGCAGGAGUUGAUUAUCAUGAGACCUUUGCUCCUGUGGUUAAGAUGAAAACGGUGCGAACGCUUCUCCGUCUAGCUGCUGCUCAGAAAUGGGAAGUGUAUCAAAUGGAUGUGAACAAUGCCUUUCUUCAUGGAGAUCUCCAAGAAGAAGUGUAUAUGAAGUUACCACCUGGUUUUCGCCACACUCAUCCUAAUAAGGUGUGCAAACUUCGAAAGUCUAUUUACGGACUUAGACAGGCUCCACGUUGCUGGUUUAAGAAGCUAUCAGAUGCACUUCUCAAGUUUGGUUUUGUACAGUCAUAUGAUGAUUACUCGCUGUUCUCGUAUACUCGCAAGGGAAUGCGGUUGCAUGUUCUUAUAUAUGUUGAUGAUCUGCUCAUAUGCGGUAACAAUGGCUAUAUGGUCGAGAAGUUUAAAGAGUAUCUUGGUAAAUGUUUUUCGAUGAAGGACUUGGGCAAGCUUAAGUACUUUCUUGGCAUAGAAGUUAGUAGAGGCCCGGAAGGUAUCUUCUUGUCUCAACGAAAAUAUGCACUAGACAUUGUCACUGACACAGGUAAUCUCGGGUGUAAACCUGCUGCGACACCUUUGGAGCAAAAACAUAAUCUUGCCAAGAGUAAAAGUCUGAUCUUGGCCGAUCCAACAAAGUACAGACGUCUCAUGGGUCGCUUGAUCUACCUGUCUCACACUCGACCUGAACUCAGUUACUCAAUUCAUACACUCUCUCAGUUCAUGAAGACGCCUCGUGAGGAUCAUUGGAAAGCUGCCAUUCGGCUGGUUCAGUUCCUAAAAGGAACGUUGGGACAAGGUAUUUUUCUUAGUUCCUCGCCGGAUAUGACUCUCUCCAUCUAUUGUGACUCCGACUGGUCCUCUUGUCCUCUCACAAGGCGCUCUCUCUCUGCCUUUGUUGUCAUGCUUGGUGACUCUCCUGUUUCAUGGAAGACGAAAAAGAAGGAUACAGUCUCCCACUCGUCGGCCGAAGCUGAGUAUCGUGCAAUGUCUUAUGCACUCAAGGAGGUAAAGUGGUUCCGCAAACUGUUUAAAGGAAUAGGUAUCGAACAACAGUCCACACGUUUCUUCUGUGACAGCAAGGCCGUUAUUCACAUUGCAACCAAUCCAGUCUUUCACGAGCGAACCAAGCAUAUUGAAAACGACUGUCACGCAGUGCGUGAUGCAGUUACAGCUGGCCUUAUUACUCUUCAUCACAUUCGGACUCACGACCAAGUUGCGGACAUCCUUACUAAAGCAUUGGGGCGUGAUCAGUUUCAUCUGUUAUUGUCCAAGUUGGGCGUUCACAAUCUUCAUGCACCAACGUGAGGGAAAAUAUUAUGGGAUCAUUAUCUAGUUAUUAAUACUUAGGAUAAUGACGUUAUUGAUAAGUCCACAUAUGUUAUUGAUAAGGACAAAUAGUUUGUUGAGGUUUAGUUAAACCGUCAUACACGUUGUAUAAGUAUCGAUGUUCACAAGUUUAAUAAGACAAGUCAGUUCGAUACAUUAUUCUACAGGGGAUAACUGUGUGCAAGGGGAUAACUGUGUGCAUGGGAGGGGUAAUUUACCUUAGCCCUUUACAAAGGUCCAGUAUUGAAAUUACCGAUAUGCCCUCACCUGUAUCAUCAGCGGAAUAUUCCCGGCCAUGUCUCCGGUGGUUCCACCUCUUGGCUCAAAGGAUGUGUUCUCAUGAUCACCUCCAACAUUUUAUGGGGUCUUUGGCUCGUUUUGCAGGGUCGUGUGUUAAAAAGUUUACCAUUCGAAGCUAUACUUCACGACUUUUCAUUGUCUAUUGAGUUCCAUCCAAUCUUUCGUCAUCGCUAUUGCAUUCGAGAGAGAUAUCUCAGCAUGGAAGCUUGGUUGGAACCUACGACUCGUUGCAGUCAUCUACUGUGGAUUCAUUGUAACAGGCGUAGCAUAUUAUUUGCAAUCAUGGGUUAUAGAGAAGAGGGGACCUGUUUUCUUAUCAAUGUUCACUCCUUUGUCUUUACUCUUCACUCUACUCUCAUCAGGGAUUCUACUUUGCGAGAUCAUCAGGCUUGGAAGUAUUCUAGGUGGAUUAUUACUGAUUAUAGGACUCUACUGUGUGCUGUGGGGGAAAAGUCGAGAGCUGAAGAACAUUGGUGAUCAGAAGACUGAUCCACAUAAAGAAAACAGUGAUGUUUGCAAUGAAGUGAAGGUUGUCAUUAGCUGAAUGAAUGUCUUAGUUUGUAUUAUACAUUAUGCUUAUUAUAUAUAUGUGCUAAUCAUCAUUCAUAUAAUAGAGUCCAGAUAAGUUUGCUUUAA
This is an RNA transcript of Brassica napus (rape), 6179 nucleotides long. It is a transcript of the gene named retrovirus-related Pol polyprotein from transposon RE1, with no coding region annotated. Lineage: Eukaryota; Viridiplantae; Streptophyta; Magnoliopsida; Brassicales; Brassicaceae. The record is from RefSeq and is a predicted model, not a curated record. The transcript has 7 exons.